UCUCGGACACGCUGCUCUCCUGUGCGGCCCUCUGCGUGGCCUCGUGCCGCGCUCAUUUCAGCCCCCCACCCCCCCCCCCCCCCCUCAGCACAGGGGCUGAGAGAAAAAGCCAUUUUAAUGGCUCCUUUAGAAGCUUUCGUUUUCGUUCUUUUCUUUUCUUUUCUUUACUAAGUUUAUUCAACUAUUCGCCUCUCCACGCAAGGAAGACGAAUCCUGGAACAAUGUUUGUUGAACCUUUCAAAUACCGCGCGAGGACAGAACAAAGGACCACGUGCUCCACGCUCACGCCAAGAGCCAGCGCAGCGUGCACGCGCGUCACAUGGCCUCCGUUUCAUGGCACAUGGCUGUUUCAACGGGAACAGCGCGCAAAGCUCACAAGCUCGACGCCGAUCUCACGCCACGCUCACAUUGGACACUUUUGCAAGUCUGGCUGAAUGCCCCAUACCAGCACAACACAACAAGGCCCAAUCCAGGAGGAUCUAAUCAGUAGCUGCACAGCCAGAUGUCUCCUUGAGCAGACUCCAAAGCGCACUAUUCAUUGAUUGUUUAUGCUGGGUGAAUCUUUGAAAAUUACAUUGGGGCCCAAUCACAAUAAUUAGCAAAUUGAAGGCAUCGUUAUCUUGAGGAUAUAGUUGUUGUGUUUUUUUUUUUUUUUUUUUUUUCAUGAGGACUUUGAAUUACUCUGAUGAUAUGCUAUUUAAGAGUGCAAGCUAAUUAAUCUCCUGUCCAGCACAGUUUUGUCCAAAUGGAUAAAGAGCCCCGUUCUCCAUCAGCCGUGAACGCUUUCAGUAAUCUUGCAUUUCAUUGCAUUUCCCCCAAGGCAUUCAACACCUAGCCCCAUCCCUGUCUAUUCAAUAGACUUUCCAUUGCCAGUGUCACAAAUUGCUUUAUUUAAUACAUGGUCAUGCACUAUGAUAUAUUAUUUUCCAUUGUAACUCUUUCACACUCAUUUACAUGAUCUUGAAUGAACCAUUCUGGAACAAAAUUAUAGUAAAAUGUGUUCCUUGUGCCAUAGUGCACUACAUGUAUUUGUCAACGGAAAAUAAAUGACACUAUAAAGAUAUCUAAUAGCG
This is a long non-coding RNA of Carassius gibelio (silver crucian carp), 1073 nucleotides long. RefSeq lists it as uncharacterized. NCBI's taxonomy places the organism in Eukaryota, Metazoa, Chordata, Actinopteri, Cypriniformes, Cyprinidae. The record is from RefSeq and is a predicted model, not a curated record. The transcript has 2 exons.